This 406-nucleotide ribosomal RNA is filed under the name uncultured bacterium. RNAcentral's name for it is "partial 16S ribosomal RNA". It matches the Rfam family "Bacterial small subunit ribosomal RNA", at positions 30 to 526 of the family's 1533-position model. The record is from RNAcentral.
AUUGAACGCUGGCGGCAGGCCUAACACAUGCAAGUCGAACGAGUGGCGGACGGGUGAGUAAUGUCUGGGAAACUGCCUGAUGGAGGGGGAUAACUACUGGAAACGGUAGCUAAUACCGCAUACCAUCGGAUGUGCCCAGAUGGGAUUAGCUGGUGGGUGGGGUAAAGGCUAACCUAGGCGCCGAUCCCUAGCUGGUCUGAGAGGAUGACCAUCCACACUGGAACGGAGACACGGUCCAGACUCCUACGGGAGGCAGCAGUGGGGAAUAUUGCAAAAUGGGCGCAAGCCUGAUGCAGCCAUUCCGCGUGUAUGAAGAAGGCCUUCGGGUUGUAAAGUACUUUCAGCGGGGAGGCGUUACCCGCAGAAGAAGCACCGGCUAACUCCGUGCCAGCAGCCGCGGUAAGAC